UUCGCCCUUUUCCGGUUGAUCCUGCCGGACCCGACUGCUAUCAGAGUGAGAUUAAGCCAUGCGAGUCAACGUAGCAAUACGUGGCAUACGGCUCAGUAACACGUAGUCAACAUAACCAAAGGACGUGGAUAAACUCGGGAAACUGAGGCUAAACCGCGAUAGAUCAAGAUACCUGGAAUGGUUUUUGAUCAAAAUCUAUAUGGCCUUUGGAUUGGACUGCGUCCGAUCAGGCUGUUGGUGAGGUAAUGGCCCACCAAACCUAUAACCGGUACGGGCUCUGAGAGGAGGAGCCCGGAGAUGGGUACUGAGAUAAGGACCCAGGCCCUAUGGGGCGCAGCAGGCGCGAAACCUCUGCAAUAGGCGAAAGCUUGACAGGGUUAUUCUGAGUGACUUUCGUUAAGAAAGUCUUUUGACACCUCUAAAAAUGGUGUAGAAUAAGGGGUGGGCAAGUCUGGUGUCAGCCGCCGCGGUAAUACCAGCACCCCGAGUGGUCGGGACGAUUAUUGGGCCUAAAGCAUCCGUAGCCGGCCUUACAAGUCCUCCGUUAAAUCCAGCUGCUUAACAGAUGGGCUGCGGAGGAUACUAUAAGACUAGGAGGCAGGAGAGGCAAGCGGUACUCAAUGGGUAGGGGUAAAAUCCGUUGAUCCAUUGAAGACCACCAGUGGCGAAGGCGGCUUGCCAGAAUGCGCUCGACGGUGAGGGAUGAAAGCUGGGGGAGCAAACCGGAUUAGAUACC
RNAcentral lists this ribosomal RNA (736 nucleotides) under uncultured archaeon. Its description in RNAcentral is "bacterial SSU rRNA". It matches the Rfam family "Archaeal small subunit ribosomal RNA", at positions 1 to 737 of the family's 1478-position model. The record is from RNAcentral.